UGUCCCCUAGCUCAGUUGGUUAGAGCGUCCGACUGUUAGAUCGUCUGAUCAGCAAUCGGGAGGUCGAGAGUUCAACCCUCUCGGGGACAG
Molecule: non-coding RNA, 90 nt
Organism: Saitozyma sp. JCM 24511
Lineage: Eukaryota; Fungi; Basidiomycota; Tremellomycetes; Tremellales; Trimorphomycetaceae
Source: the annotation of a GenBank genome assembly